UGGUGGAGUGAUUUGUCUGGUUAAUUCCGAUAACGAACGAGACUCUGUCCUGCUAACUAGGUUGUGUUUUAUCGGGUUGGUGUUCUGGUGUUCCUUCUCGGGGCGCCGGCCCAAUCCACUUGUGAACACAACACUCUUCUUAGAGGGACUGGCGGCUGUUAGCCGCACGAGAUAGAGCAAUAACA
This 185-nucleotide ribosomal RNA is filed under the name uncultured eukaryote. Its description in RNAcentral is "partial 18S ribosomal RNA". It matches the Rfam family "Eukaryotic small subunit ribosomal RNA", at positions 1299 to 1458 of the family's 1831-position model. The record is from RNAcentral.